UACGUAGGGGGCAAGCGUUGUUCGGAUUUACUGGGCGUAAAGGGCGCGUAGGCGGCGCGUAAAGUCGGACAUGGAAUCAUUAGGCUCAACCUAAUGGCUGUGUCCGAUACUUACGUGCUUGGAGUGCGGGAGAGGCAGCCGGAAUUCUCGGUGUAGCGGUGAAGUGCGUAGAUAUCGAGAGGAACACCGGUGACGAAGGUGGGUUGCUGGACCGACACUGACGCUGAGGCGAGAAAGCUAGGGGAGCAAACGGG
RNAcentral lists this ribosomal RNA (254 nucleotides) under uncultured bacterium. Its description in RNAcentral is "partial 16S ribosomal RNA". It matches the Rfam family "Bacterial small subunit ribosomal RNA", at positions 524 to 776 of the family's 1533-position model. The record is from RNAcentral.